GAUGAAGAACGUAGCGAAAUGCGAUAGGUAAUGUGAAUUGCAGAAUUCAGUGAAUCAUCGAAUCUUUGAACGCACAUUGCGCCCUGUGGUAUUCCGCAGGGCAUGCCUGUUCGAGCGUCAUUUCAACCCUCAAGCUCUGCUUGGUGUUGGGCCCUGCCCGCUGCGGCCGGCCCUAAAGACAGUGGCGGUGCCGCCUGGCCCUGAGCGUAGUACAUCUCUCGCUCCAGUGCCCGGUGGUAGCCUGCCAGAACCCCAACUCUCGUGGUUGACCUCGGAUCAGGUAGGGAUACCCGCUGAACUUAAGCAUAUCAAUAAGCGGAGGA
Molecule: unclassified non-coding RNA, 323 nt
Filed under: soil metagenome
Description: partial contains 5.8S ribosomal RNA, internal transcribed spacer 2, and large subunit ribosomal RNA
Rfam family: 5.8S ribosomal RNA (bases 1-120)
Source: RNAcentral